RNAcentral lists this long non-coding RNA (218 nucleotides) under Elaeis guineensis (African oil palm). RNAcentral's name for it is "long non-coding RNA (EGUI_LNC079536)". The record is from RNAcentral. Lineage: Eukaryota; Viridiplantae; Streptophyta; Magnoliopsida; Arecales; Arecaceae.
GAUGACCCAUGAAACAUAUUUUUCAUCCAUACUUUAAAUGUAAAAAAGAUGCAUCCAUAUUGCAUAUUGGAUAUGCAAGAUAUCCUUUGGUACUUCAUCCAGAUAAACUUUCAUAUAUCGAAAAAUCAUUUAUGGUCCAUAGAAUCGAAGCAUGCAACUUAAAAUUACUUCGACUCACAGAAUCAUAUAUCUGUACCCCAUUUUCCCAUAACUCCUUC